This 69-nucleotide transfer RNA is filed under the name Salamandrina terdigitata (spectacled salamander). RNAcentral's name for it is "tRNA-Gly". Lineage: Eukaryota; Metazoa; Chordata; Amphibia; Caudata; Salamandridae. The record is from RNAcentral.
AUCUUUUUAGUAUAAACAUUAUAAAUGACUUCCAAUCAUUUGAUCUUAGUUAGUUACUAAGAAAAGAUA